Molecule: non-coding RNA, 1168 nt
Organism: Pelobates cultripes (western spadefoot toad)
Lineage: Eukaryota; Metazoa; Chordata; Amphibia; Anura; Pelobatidae
Source: the annotation of a GenBank genome assembly
GUUAGUUUGCAUGUAAUGUAGAGCAGAGAAAACGCCUAUUACCUGAUAGUACCAUAACCACUACAAUAAUUAGUAAUAGUAAAAUAAGCGGUUAUGUGGCUUGGUGUCCUUCUUUUAGUAAAUUGCUAAAAAUGAAGGGAUUUGUUUAGCUGCUGACGAUAGUUUUAACCUUUGUCACUGCCAUGGGCACAGAGAGGUAUUCAUUAUGGAUACAGUCCUUGCAGCAAAAUGUGGUUCGGUUUGCUAGACAUUGCAUUGUCUGAGAGCAUUGCUACACACACUGAACCGGAAUUUUUAAAAAUGUACUUAUUUUUAUAAAUUGGCUCUUUUGGCAUCAUUAUUGCUAUGGUUUCCAGGUCGCUGUAAUUCAGUAUUAUAAACUUUAACCCCUUAAUAAGGGGCCCAAAAUCCUGUUCUGUUUUGAACCCCUGAGCAAGUGAUGAACAGGUUAAAUGUUACCGCGCUCCACAAGCAGAUUUUGAUAUCCACACACCUUGUGGGAUAAUCGGGGCAGUAUUUUUGGUUGUUGGCAGUAUCUUGCUCGGCCACGGAAACCUGGGUUUUUGUGUUUGAAUCAGUUUUUUUCUUUUAUCCUGUUAAUUCUUCCUUUUUGUCUCCUAUUUUCUUUUUGGCUUUGUUCCAUACCAUUUAACGAUUCGCUACACCUUCUGCCACGAGAGGGUGUAGGUGAGGCAUUACUCCAGCUAAAAUUGACUGGCACCACCUCGAUAAUUAUAUUUAAUCUGAUUGUCCCACUUUCUCUGUGAUCUGUUCCAACAAACAGGGUGUUUGACUCAGACCUGACUGAUAUAGCAAUGUGUGGGUGUCUGAUUGCUAUUUACACAAGUAGAUAAAUAAAACCUUUAGUAUUUUUACAUUUUUUUUUAUAUUACAGUGUAAUCCUGAAAUCAUUGUGUAAACAAGGUAUUGUAUGAUGACCGCUGCAGGUUAACUUCCACUCCCACAAUUCACAGCUAGCAUGUCCCCAGCCAAACGGUUGUUGAGGGCCGUGACCGUGUAAUUCAAUAGUCUGCUCUUGGCUUCUGCACCGGUAACUUGUCACAAGAUGCACACUGUAACACUAUGCUACGUAUGGCAGUGACUCAUUCAGUACAAGGAGCUAUCAAGGUGCUGGGGUUUAUUUAAACUUUGUCAGCCACAUUCCUUG